AACGAACGCUGGCGGCAGGCCUAACACAUGCAAGUCGAACGCAUCCUUCGGGGUGAGUGGCAGACGGGUGAGUAACGCGUGGGAACCUACCUUGUGGUACGGAACAACCAAGGGAAACUUUGGCUAAUACCGUAUGAGCCCGAGAGGGGAAAGAUUUAUCGCCAUGAGAUGGGCCCGCGUCGGAUUAGCUAGUUGGUGAGGUAACGGCUCACCAAGGCGACGAUCCGUAGCUGGUCUGAGAGGAUGACCAGCCACACUGGGACUGAGACACGGCCCAGACUCCUACGGGAGGCAGCAGUGGGGAAUAUUGGACAAUGGGCGGAAGCCUGAUCCAGCCAUGCCGCGUGUGUGAUGAAGGCCUUAGGGUUGUAAAGCACUUUCGCCGAUGAAGAUAAUGACGGUAGUCGGAGAAGAAGCCCCGGCUAACUUCGUGCCAGCAGCCGCCGUAAGAC
Molecule: ribosomal RNA, 452 nt
Filed under: uncultured bacterium
Lineage: Bacteria
Description: bacterial SSU rRNA
Rfam family: Bacterial small subunit ribosomal RNA
Source: RNAcentral